UCAGUGCGUACUCAGUGAUUCAGAAUCGUCCGCCCGAUAUCAACUGACGACGGCUUAGUUAGCACCCGACUAUGGCUGAACAGAUAGCAGAUAUGGUGGCAUCAUUGUUAUCUUUUUUUAGAACUGCAUGAAGAUUGCAUUGAGACAAACUUGAAGCUGCAAUUCCAAUUGACAAACGUCAAAACCAUAAAGCGAAACAAAAAUAGUGACAAUGGCGAACGGUGCAAGCAGCUCAUUUAUCCAGAGAUCGGAAAUUUAUUUGAGCAUCCUGAAAUCGAUUGCAUCGAUACAGUAACAGGGAACAUCUCUCGGAUCAUUUUGUUAUUAAAUUAAAAAUCUAAAAUAAAAUAAAAUAAAAAUCUAAAAUAAAAAGGAGUCCCUAGAAUUUAUUGCAAAUUUAUAUAAUUAU
Long non-coding RNA from Wyeomyia smithii (pitcher-plant mosquito), 409 nucleotides. RefSeq lists it as uncharacterized. The transcript has 3 exons. The record is from RefSeq and is a predicted model, not a curated record. NCBI's taxonomy places the organism in Eukaryota, Metazoa, Arthropoda, Insecta, Diptera, Culicidae.